This 550-nucleotide ribosomal RNA is filed under the name uncultured archaeon. Its description in RNAcentral is "bacterial SSU rRNA". It matches the Rfam family "Archaeal small subunit ribosomal RNA", at positions 326 to 879 of the family's 1478-position model. The record is from RNAcentral.
CGGGGUGCCCAGGCGCGAAAACUUUGCAAUAGGCGAAAGCCUGACAGGGCUAUCCCGAGUGCCAUCCGCUGAGGAAGGCUUUUACCCAGUCUAGAACGCUGGGGGAAUAAGGAGAGGGCAAGUCUGGUGUCAGCCGCCACGGUAAUACCAGCUCUUCGAGUGGUGUGGAUGUUUAUUGGGCCUAAAGCAUCCGUAGCUGGCUAAGUUAGUCCCUUGUUAAAUCCACCGAAUUAAUCGUUGGAUCGCGGGGGAUACUGCUUGGCUAGGGGACGAGAGAGGCAGACGGUAUUUUCGGGGUAGGGGUGAAAUCCUAUAAUCCCGGGAAGACCACCAGUGGCGAAGGCUGUCUGCUAGAACGCGCCCGACGGUGAGGGAUGAAAGCUGGGGGAGCGAACCGGAUUAGAUACCCGGGUAGUCCCAGCUGUAAACGAUGCAGACUAGGUGUUUGGACGGCCACGUGCCGUUCUAGUGCCGCAGGGAAGCUGUUAAGUCUGCCGCCUGGGGAGUACGAUCGCAAGAUUGAAACUUAAAGGAAUUGGCGGGGGAGCAC